GACGAACGCUGGCGGCGUGCUUAACACAUGCAAGUCGAACGGAAAGGCCCUGCUUUUGUGGGGUGCUCGAGUGGCGAACGGGUUAGUAACACGUGAGUAACCUGCCCUUGACUUUGGGAUAACUUCAGGAAACUGGGGCUAAUACCGGAUAGGAGCUCCUGCUGCAUGGUGGGGGUUGGAAAGUUUCGACGGUUGGGGGUGGACUCGCGGCUUAUCAGCUUGUUGGUGGGGUAGUGGCUUACCAAGGCUUUGACGGGUAGCCGGCCUGAGAGGGUGACCGGCCACAUUGGGACUGAGAUACGGCCCAGACUCCUACGGGAGGCAGCAGUGGGGAAUAUUGCACAAUGGGCGGAAGCCUGAUGCAGCAACGCCGCGUGCGGGAUGACGGCCUUCGGGUUGUAAACCGCUUUCGCCUGUGACGAAGCGUGAGUGACGGUAAUGGGUAAAGAAGCACCGGCUAACUACGUG
RNAcentral lists this ribosomal RNA (468 nucleotides) under uncultured bacterium. Its description in RNAcentral is "partial 16S ribosomal RNA". It matches the Rfam family "Bacterial small subunit ribosomal RNA", at positions 28 to 507 of the family's 1533-position model. The record is from RNAcentral.